This 86-nucleotide transfer RNA is filed under the name Paracoccaceae bacterium. Its description in RNAcentral is "Rhodobacteraceae bacterium (soil metagenome) tRNA-Leu". It matches the Rfam family "tRNA". Rfam says of the family: Transfer RNA (tRNA) molecules are approximately 80 nucleotides in length. The record is from RNAcentral. Lineage: Bacteria; Pseudomonadati; Pseudomonadota; Alphaproteobacteria; Rhodobacterales; Paracoccaceae.
GCGGGCGUGGCGAAACCGGUAGACGCAGCGGACUUAAAAUCCGCUUCCCCACGGGAGUGCGGGUUCGAGUCCCGCCGUCCGCACCA